UACGUAGGGGGCAAGCGUUGUCCGGAAUUAUUGGGCGUAAAGAGCGCGUAGGCGGUCUGAUAAGUCGGUUGUGAAAGUCGGGGGCUCAACCCUCGGAUGCCGAUCGAUACUGUCGGGCUAGAGUCCGGAAGAGGCGAGUGGAAUUCCUGGUGUAGCGGUGGAAUGCGCAGAUAUCAGGAAGAACACCCGUGGCGAAAGCGGCUCUCUGGAACGGUACUGACGCUGAGACGCGAAAGCGUGGGGAGCGAACAGG
RNAcentral lists this ribosomal RNA (253 nucleotides) under uncultured bacterium. Its description in RNAcentral is "partial 16S ribosomal RNA". It matches the Rfam family "Bacterial small subunit ribosomal RNA", at positions 524 to 776 of the family's 1533-position model. The record is from RNAcentral.